RNAcentral lists this ribosomal RNA (429 nucleotides) under Chloroflexota bacterium. RNAcentral describes it as "Chloroflexi bacterium partial 16S ribosomal RNA". It matches the Rfam family "Bacterial small subunit ribosomal RNA", at positions 355 to 776 of the family's 1533-position model. The record is from RNAcentral. Lineage: Bacteria; Bacillati; Chloroflexota.
UGGGGAAUAUUGCACAAUGGGCGCAAGCCUGAUGCAGCCAUGCCGCGUGUGUGAAGAAGGCCUUCGGGUUGUAAAGCACUUUCAGCGGGGAGGAAGGCGAUAAGGUUAAUAACCUUGUCGAUUGACGUUACCCGCAGAAGAAGCACCGGCUAACUCCGUGCCAGCAGCCGCGGUAAUACGGAGGGUGCAAGCGUUAAUCGGAAUUACUGGGCGUAAAGCGCACGCAGGCGGUCUGUCAAGUCGGAUGUGAAAUCCCCGGGCUUAACCUGGGAACUGCAUCUGAUACUGGCAAGCUGGAGUCUCGUAGAGGGGGGGAGAAUUCCAGGUGUAGCGGUGAAAUGCGUAGAGAUCUGGAGGAAUACCGGUGGCGAAGGCGGCCCCCUGGACGAAGACUGACGCUCAGGUGCGAAAGCGUGGGGAGCAAACAGG